UGCUUUGUUUACCCAGAGAGGACCUCCUGUUCUGCCCCUUGGCAUGUUUACUUUCCUGGUUGCCUACUUGGAAAGCCCUAUGACUGCUGGCAGGGAGAGCUCUGGUCACUUUCACUACCUUCUCAGAUUUUCAGCUCUUGGGGCUUCAGUAGGACCUGCCUUUCAGUAACUUUCAGAGGCAUGGGGAGCCCUUCCCUGAAAGAGAGGAGAAGGUGACAUCUUAGAAACUGUGAUAAAAUGAUCUCAGGACCCAAAAAGAAAAUGGACAAGCCUGGCAAUGAGAGUUUGCAAUGUGAUGCAAUCACGGGCAAUACCAGGGUGGAAAUUGGAUGGGCAGCUUUCUUCUCUCUAGAAGAUUUUCUUUCCAAGUCCAUUCUUUCUUUUCAUAUUUUCAUGAUAUUUACAGCAGCUUUGUUCGUAAUUGUCAAAACUUGGAAGCAACCAUGAUGCCGAUAUCCUUCAGCAAGUGAACAAAUAAAUUAACUGUGGUACGUCCUGACAAUGGAAUAUUAUUCAGCACUAAAAAGAAAUGUGCUAUCAAGCCAUGAAAAGCCAUGGAGGAAACUUAAAUGCAUAUUACUAAGUGAUAGAAGCCAAUCUGAAGAGGUUACAUACUCUGUAUUCCAAGUAUAUGACAUCUGGAAAUGACAAAACUAUGGACACCAUAAAAAGAUCAGUGGUUACCAGGGGUUGGGGAUUGGGGGAUGGAUACCUGGAGCACAGAGGAUUUUUAAGGCAGUGAAACUAGUCUAUAUGACACUAUAAAAAUGGAUACGUGUCAUUAUACAUUUGUCAAAGCUCAUAGGAUGUACAACAGCAAUAGCAAACUCUAAUGUAAACUGUGGACUUUGAGUGAUUAUGAUGUGUCAACAUAGGUUCAUCGGCUGUUAACAAAUGGACCCCUCUGAUGGAGCUAUAAAUAUGUGACAACUUGAAUUCUGCUUAAUGGACUUCCUUUCUUUCUUAUUUCCUUUCUUUCUUUCUUUCUUUUUUUCUUUUUUUUUUUUUUGGUUUGUUUCUUGCAUCUUAUGUUAUCUCUAUGGUAAGUUUAGCUAAAUGAAAAAUUCCCAGGAUUGUAAACUGAUUGAUUAGAAAUUAUUUGAUUUUUCUUUAUUUCAUUUUAUGUUACUUUUUAAGACCCAGUCAAGGAACAUUUCCAUAUGAUGUGCGUGUAUCCAUAGAAUUAUAUCAUGGCUGCAUAUGCAGUUUUAGCCUAUGCUAUAAAAUGCCUGCUUUUUAAAAAAAGACGUUAUUUUCUUAGAACAGUUUUAGGUUCACAGCAAAACUGAAAGGAAGUUACAGAGAUGUCCCAUAUACCCCUUGCCCCCGCCACACAUUUGAAACAUCUUUUCAAAUCUUUUCCUCAUUUAUUAAAUAGCUUGUUUUUCUCAUUAUUGAGUUGUGAUAUAUCUUUAUGUAUUCUGAAUAAAGUCCUUCGUCAGAUCUACAUAUUACGAAUAACUCCUCUCACUUCGUGGCUUGCUUUUUAAUGUUCAUAAUGUUGUCUUACAAAGAGAAAAAGGUUUUCAUUUGAUAAAAUACAAUUUUUUUAUUUUUAAAAUUUAUGAUUUUGUGUUUUCUGUGUUCUGUGUAAAA
This 1596-nucleotide long non-coding RNA is filed under the name Homo sapiens (human). Its description in RNAcentral is "long non-coding RNA NONHSAT185662.1". Lineage: Eukaryota; Metazoa; Chordata; Mammalia; Primates; Hominidae. The record is from RNAcentral.